AUACGGAGGGUGCAAGCGUUAUCCGGAAUCAUUGGGUUUAAAGGGUCCGUAGGCGGGCUAAUAAGUCAGGGGUGAAAUCCCACAGCUUAACUGUGGAACUGCCCUUGAUACUGUUGGUCUUGAGUUACAGUGAAGUGGUUAGAAUGUGUAGUGUAGCGGUGAAAUGCAUAGAGAUUACACAGAAUACCGAUUGCGAAGGCAGAUCACUAACUGUAUACUGACGCUAAUGGACGAAAGCGUGGGGAGCGAACAGGAUUAGAAACCCGGGUAGUCC
This 274-nucleotide ribosomal RNA is filed under the name uncultured bacterium. RNAcentral's name for it is "partial 16S ribosomal RNA". It matches the Rfam family "Bacterial small subunit ribosomal RNA", at positions 523 to 796 of the family's 1533-position model. The record is from RNAcentral.